RNAcentral lists this ribosomal RNA (200 nucleotides) under uncultured bacterium. Its description in RNAcentral is "partial 16S ribosomal RNA". It matches the Rfam family "Bacterial small subunit ribosomal RNA", at positions 8 to 224 of the family's 1533-position model. The record is from RNAcentral.
AGAGUUUGAUCAUGGCUCAGAAUCAACGCUGGCGGCGCGCUUAACACAUGCAAGUCGCACGAGAAAGGGGGCAACCCUGAGUAAAGUGGCGUACGGGUGAGUAACACGUGGAUCAUCUACCUUUUAGUGGGGAAUACCCCUGGGAAACCGGGGAUAAUACCGCAUAAGCUCGUGAGAGGAAAGCCGAAAGGCGCUGAAAG